RNA transcript from Sapajus apella (tufted capuchin), 433 nucleotides. It is a transcript of the gene named translationally-controlled tumor protein pseudogene, with no coding region annotated. NCBI's taxonomy places the organism in Eukaryota, Metazoa, Chordata, Mammalia, Primates, Cebidae. The record is from RefSeq and is a predicted model, not a curated record. The transcript has a single exon.
CCUUCAGCCGCCAUCAUGAUUAUCUACCGCGACCUCAUCAGCCACGAUGAGAUGCUCUCCGACAUCUACAAGAUCCAGGUGAUUGCGGACAGUCUGUGCUUGGAGGUGGAGGGGAAGAUGGUCAGUAGGACAGAAAGUAACAUUGAUGACUCACUCAUCAGUGGAAAUGCCUCCGCUGAAGGCCCCGAGGGCGAAGGUACCAAAAGCACAGUAAUCACUGGUAUCCAUGUUGUCAUGAACCAUCACCUACCUGCAGGAAACAAGUUUCACAAAAGAAGCCUACAAGAAGUACAUCAAAGAUUACAUGAAAUCAAUCAAAGGCAAACUUGAAGAACAGAGACCAGAAAGAGUAAAACCUUUUAUGACAGGGGCUGCAGAACAAAUCAAGCACAUUCUUGCUUAUUUCAAAAUCUAUUAGCUCUGUGUUGGUGAA